Molecule: long non-coding RNA, 6362 nt
Organism: Bombus impatiens (common eastern bumble bee)
Lineage: Eukaryota; Metazoa; Arthropoda; Insecta; Hymenoptera; Apidae
Exons: 2
Source: RefSeq, a predicted model, not a curated record
GCUUCUUUCCUUGCAUCUUCCUCCUCUUCGUCUUCGCCUGUUUCUUCCUCCGCUAUUUUCCUCUUCUUCUUGUUCUUCGCUGAUUUUCGUCUUCUUCUUCGCAGGCUAUUUUGCUCGUGUCCUUGAUCCUAUUCUGGGGUCUUCGUCGCUUUCUCGCGCUGCUGCCUUGGCCGCUCGUUCGUCCUGGUUUGUCGGUGGUCGUUAGAUUUUGGUACGAGCGUCUUGAUGUAACUCAUGAUGUCCCGCUGCUCUUCUGUUCCUUUUUUCUUUUCUGGUAUUUCGCGGAGGAAUUUCAAUUUUCGUAGCAAUUACGGCGGAGUUUCUUUCAACCGGUCUUCAUGCGACCUCAACUGGAUGAAUGAAUGACCGGUUAAUCCAAGGAUACGCGUAGAUUCCAGAUAUCAUACACGCCAGAUGACACAAAGAAGAAAAGGCGCUUAAACACAGACUCCUUUCACUUCCUAAACACCGUAAGUAUUACGUUGACAUAUCGUAGAAAUAUUUUUCACAAUUUCUAUACAUUCAUGCAUACGAUUAAACUGUCCAAUCAAAAUUCGCAAGUACAUGAACAUCCGUGUCUCGUUGAUUUUUUAAUCGUCUUAAUAACGUUUACGUAUACCGUUGCCAGAGAAGAAGAAGAAGAAGAAGAAGAAGAAGAAGCAAAAUUUGGACGAAGAAAACCGAUAGAGUGGCAGAUUGUACGGAGAGACGUGCAGCGGAAGAUUGAAAUUAAUCAGCUCUUGGAUGGAUCGUUAUUUCUAUUAUCCUGCGUUUCGCUCUCAGCAAGUUUCACAGCGAAGGACAGCGGACUUUCUCAAAUUUCACGUGUAUUAUUUACUCAAUUGGUCACGGUUCUUCCCUCUCGCUGGCCUUCUUAAUAGACGGCCAGAUGGAGUUAGUCAAUGCCUAAUGAAUUACUUAUCGCUGAGGGAGGAUCGGGGCAGCGAGAAAAGGGCGAGGGAGAUUUGAUUAAUGAUUAUAGUUGUUCGGUUAACAUCUGAGAUUCCGCUUUUUUCUCCCCUGCUGUAUUAUUGGCUUCUACUGUAAACUUAUUAACCUUACGUUUUCAUCCGUCCUUCCUUUUGUAUGUUUUCUUUGUGAAUGAUUAUAUAUGGGAGGCAGGCUCGGGUAAAUUUGAUUUCUAAUACAAAUAAAAAAUAACUACUCGAAAGAGGGGAUCGUUUGUUGCUUUUAACUGAAGAAACGACAGAGGGAAAAAUAUCAAUGGUUUUAUGGCGAGCUAUUUAAUAGCGACAUAAUUAUAGAAGCAAAAGCAAGAGCAACACGAACGAACAAAUUUAUAUAAGCGAAAAUUUAUCGUGGCUUUUUUUAACAAGAAGAUGCAUAAUUUAUACUGAUUAUGUAGUUUGAUGCUGCGCACAGAAGGAUAAGGAAGAGGAAGGAGGAAAAAUUAAAGAGCCGAUCGAGGUCGUUAGAGAUACAAUCUCCGGAAUUGCCGAUCAAAAGCUUGAAAUCAGAUCCCACGGUUGUGAUUAUGGCGUCAUGAGCGGUAAUGGGAUCGUAUCAACCUGAAAUUUUAUUACUUUCAAUAUUUGCCACGUCCGCAAUCCCACGUAUCCCAAUUUCCCAUUUAUUUUCAUCUUUCGUGCAUAUUUUCCAUUUUUAAGAUACACGUCGCUGCCUUUCCAAUUCUACGAUAUUCCAAAAUAUUCGUAAGAUAAAACGACGCUAUAAUAAUAAACACGGAGUGUUGUAACGCGUUCCCUUCCUGUCGUGACAUAAAACGAUAAUAAAAUGUAAGAUAGUUUAUCGAUCGACAGGUUGGCGCUUCUUAGAUGCUCAUCUUUUCGCUGCCCUUCAACAACAAAUUUUAUCUCGCGAUAUACCGCGAUAGGAUUCUCAUGCCGAUCCUUCCUACUUGCAAUUUUCUAACCGAUUUGUAUUCCGUGAGAAACAAUUAAUUGGCCGUAUACUUCUCAACGACAACCGUAAGUUUCAACAUGUCGCUACGAGGAUAGAUGGAUUCAUACUGCUACACAGUUUUGUACUCCAUGUUCGUUGUUGCAGUAGAUACACAGUAUCUAUUACCUGUUUAAUGUGUUACGCAAGUUAGCUGUUUAAUGUGAAGAAAUAUCUACUACUUCGCCGAAUGACAAGAUCACGAUGUAUUCGGAUGGCAACUAAGUGAUUGGCGAUUUUACCAUUAGGUGGUAAUGACAAAUUCUGCAAUCACUUAGUUGCCAACCCAAUAGAAAUACGUAGGACGCGAUCUGUACGAGUCAGGCGGACAAAAAGAAACGGAAGCUCCGGCGUAUUAUCAUGGAGCGCUGCAGCUUCCUAAACCCUCGCCAAAGAAACGAGCGAAGGAGGAAACGCAGAGCGUGGCAGUAGGCAGAAAAACCCUCGAAACGAGGAGUGAAACAGGUGCCAAGAAAACACGUUCGCUCGUGCGCUCGCGCGUGCAGACAUUAGUCGCCACUGUCGGCAGUCGCGCGCCCUCGUCAAGGUGCGUUUUCACCGACUUCUGCGGGCGCCCUUUUUCCCUCCGCUUUGCGAAUAUUCAAUCGCGGACGAGCGUGGUUUCGUUGCUCGACGAUCGCACGUCUAACCGGAAAUCGAACGUCCGAGUGCUGUAAAGGCUGGUUCAUACACGGCCACAGGUUUAAUCGAGCAAAGCGGACGAGCGGAGCUGAAUUUACGCUGUUGAUUCGCGGAAAAGUAACGUUUUCGUCUUCGUCCACGGUGAUCCUACAACGCGAAUAGCGUCAAUUCGGCUUUACUCGCUGCUUCAACUUACUUAAACUACUGGCCGUGUGUGAACCAGCCUUAAGGGCGCUGCGAUCGCGCGCUCGGGGACCAGACCGAGUUUAGACGAUUUUGGAAUCGUUGUAGACGAGUUUGCGAACAGAUUCGCGAAAUUCGAUAACUGUUUACGGUAUAACGCUAUCGCUACUUUGGUGUAAACUGAGAGGCCUGAGAAGCCUUUGGAUGUGGAGAAGUCGCUGAAACGCAGCAACGAACUGCUAGACGUAGCGAGAAACACGUCGAUGAACCAUCGAAAACAGUGUUCUCCUCUUAUGUGAUCCAAGCUCGAACGAACGAAAGCAAAUGAAAAAGACAAAAAGCGAGCAAGAAGAGAAGAAAAAAGAGAAAAGAUAUAUAAGAACCUUCGAAGAGACUGAAGAGUAGAGCGAACAGAUAGAAACAGAGUAAAUGCUACAGCUUAGAGCGAAGAAGGAUAGGACGAGGCCAAGGGAUAAAAAAAAAAGGAAGAGCGUGUUUUCGAGCGGAGAAAAGGAUCAAAGGAGGCUGAGAAGAGAGCAAGAGGCGAGAGACUGGAGGAUCGAAGGUGUUUUUCGGGGCGUGGCGAGGGCCGCGUGAUUACCAGGAGGAUCGGUUAGCGCGGUGAGAGUUCAAAGCAUCAAAGAGGCCCGACCAGCGAGAAAUUGCUUAGGAUUCAUCUGCCGGCACGGGACCCUCCGGACGCGUUUCGUUCUCUUCUCUUCUCUUCUCUUCUCGUUCUCUAUCUGUUCUGCGGCCGGGGUAUUGUGAAUACGCCUGGCACCUUGGACCGCGAUCCGACUCUGCUCGAGAGCACGACUCCUUCACCGUGAUGGGCCUCGCAGCACUCGCGGCGGCAAUAUUUUUGGAGAUCGCUGGAUGGAUGGAUGGAGUUUGUAUAGACCGUCGAUAUUGCCACUUGGCUCGUUCAGGGACGAUCGUUAGGUAAGACAAGAUGAUGGCUUGCUUCGUGACACUUUGCGGUCGCGAUUCUUGCUGAGAAACGCAGAUUCAGGAAAAGGGUGAUUAGCGAUGAAAUUGACUCGGUGAGUGAUGAAGGGAAUUUUAAAGGCAGAGAAUACGUACGACAACGUUGUGAAGCUUCCGAUGGAAUUGCACCAGGUGUUCAAGCAACCCAGAUGUUGCAACUUAUUCUUCAGAGAGCGUAGGUUAGCUAGGAAAUUGAGAAUAUUCAGCCGUUGAUGAAUCGUUGAUGAGACUUUCAACGCCGAGGAAGCAAAAAGAAGCAAGUGUUCUUGUAAAUACGAAAACGUGGCCGUUCAUUAGCAGCGCCAUCCGGCGGCUAAUUUUUGAAACUGCAUAGACAAAAUGAUGAAACCAUUGAAAAUAUUGCAAGAUUCCAUACUAAUUCUAAUUCUAUGAUUCUUGUAAUUGUCACAAAAGUAUACGAUAAAUUACAAUUUUAUCCAUUAAACUGUCAUAGGUUGCUAUGAAGAGAUACUGUUUGGACUUUUACGCGUAAACAUGCACACAGAGCUGUCAAUAUGCGAAAAUACAAUGUUCAUUGAAAGUUACAAAAUACAGAACCAAAGUAUAGUACUUUUUACGAUACAAGGACAUUUCGAUCGGCAUUCCAUCGCUGAUAUUUCGAUUCAGCGACUAUUCUCGUCGCAGGGAAUACGAGUACCACACGACCGCAUUGUCAAGUUGAAAAAUUACACACAUCAAACGGAAGCUGCACGCUAAGCGCUCGUAACUGACGAAGAGUGUCAUCUCGACAUCGAAAUGGAAGAAAUUCGUUUCAGCGCCAAUGUCGGAAGGUUCAUUUCGAAUUUGGCGUGGAAUGCAAGAAGCCUGUUGCAACGCUAAAUUAGCGAAUUAUUCGGAAAUAGCUACGCUUUAAAUUAGAAAAAAAGCAACAGGUUGUAGGAAAACUUCGGGCGUUUUAAUCUUUCAAUUUUCAAAAGGUUCAAUUUUCCAGUCAUUCCAGGACGAUGAAAACUGCUACGAAAAUAAUUCCACGAUUUCCGGCGAUUAUACUGUGUUACUUCCGGUCGCCGGGAACACGAUGAUUCGCCCCAGCCAAAAUCCGUCGAUCGGAAUUUCCUCAACCAUUUUUGUGACACAUACGAGUCUUCCCCAUACGCUUUACGAAUGUUUCCCACUGUUCCCGUACCUGUAAUUCCCCUACGACACUUUUAAAGCAGCGGCACGUGACAAACACGCGUCUUAUCGAUAGACAUUUUCGCUUUUAACAAUAGUUUCAGUAACGAAGAUACGCAAAUAGAGCGCUUGAAAUUUACCUACUCGCGAGUACGACAAAUGUACUAAAUAAAGUUAUAAAGAACAAGAGACUAACCAAGUAAGAAUUAUGAGCGAAACGACACAGAGACAUCUAUUAAAAAACGCACGAUUUAUCAAUUGAACGCGGUAUACGCAAAUGGAUUGUUCAAGUGAAACACUUGUUUGUGUAAAUGCAGACAAAUAGUUUCUAUAAAGACUAAUUUUCUUACACGUGACGAUCAAUAAUUUUUCCAUUGCUCGAAUCUCUAAGAAUCUUGACAACUUUUCGACGAUUUUUUCACAUCAACUGGAGUUUGCAAACAUUUUCACGAGACCCAAACGCUUGUGUACGAACGAGCGCUAAAAGAGGGCGCUGUUUCGUUUCGAGGAUCACUGGGAUUUUGGUCGAAAUCUGCUAUAUGCCAGAGGAUGCUCACUUAUUAGGUGCUUUAUAUUCUCGCGAGGAUUUGCCGACGUGCUUUAAAACGGUAAUCAAAUUUCAUUAUUGGCUUCUUUACGUUGCCUGUUUUAUUUUCGGACGGCUACUCUUUAAGCUACGUGGAAACUGGCAAUAAUAGGACUUUGCUGGUGGAAUGGAAUCUUCCAUUGCUUGAUCUCUGAUUUAUUUUACUGUUCGUAGAAAUGUUUGAAGAAGCGAACUUUUUAUGGAAACGGACGAACCGUAAUUGAAAAUGAAAAUGUCUAACGGUAUAACGAAAUUCUUACGUUUAUUUUUUCCUCUAACUCUUUAUGUUCGUUUAUUUUUCUCGCGUCUUUUAUUGAUCUUAAAUUAACGAAGAAUUGAUAGAUAAAAUUCUCUCGUUUGCUUCGAACGCGACGCGAUAAAUUCAGCCAGAGAAAUCGAUUCCUGGAAUAUAAACGAUUUCGAAAUUAAAAAUACACCUGUUAAACAAAAUAGCGUCGUUUAUUCUCCUUACAAAGUAGAUGUUUCGAGAGAAUAACCUACGAUUAAUUUGAAUAUUUGAGAAGUUUUAUUGAUUUCAUAUUUCGCGAAUGUGCUGAAACGAUAAGAAAGAAGGCUGGAAUUCUCAGGGUAUUAAUUACGUUCAAUUAAGACCGAGGAUUCAUUACUUUGUUGCAUUCACACGACAGAUUCUAAUUACGCGAAACUUUUCCCAAUUUAAUUGCUCGAGCAGGAGCUGGCCUCUUCUUUAAACACCUUGUAAUUAUAUACCGAAAAUAAAAUCUAAAAAUCGUUCGUUAAUUAUCGUCAUUCCACUUGAAAGUGUUUUUAGCGACAUGACAGUUACGUAAUUAAUACGAUUAAUUAAAUAUCAAGACGAACGUUUUCUUAAUUACACCUUUGAUACCGCACGACCACGAUCAAAUAUUUUCUCUUUAAUUUCUCUUAUUCG